RNAcentral lists this long non-coding RNA (466 nucleotides) under Elaeis guineensis (African oil palm). Its description in RNAcentral is "long non-coding RNA (EGUI_LNC060994)". The record is from RNAcentral. Lineage: Eukaryota; Viridiplantae; Streptophyta; Magnoliopsida; Arecales; Arecaceae.
CUUGGAUAUAGCAUUGUAGGCUUUUUUUACCUUGGUGGGCCCUUGUAAGCCUUCAAUUGGAGUAUUGGAUAUAAGAUUCAUAGAUUUCUUGCUACAUUUAUGUUGACGGGCCAUUGGUUACCACGUUGUUCAUAAACUUGGCCAUUUACUGAAGGGAGAGAAACUAUUUCUCCUAGGAAGGCCCAGGUUGCAUCUAAAAUUUUUUUUAUUCAUCUACAUGAUUAAGGAUCAAGUCCUUACCUGAUUACCAGUGAAACGAAAGAUCAAAUCUCAAUUUAUUUAGAUUAAACCUUCACAGAGGCCUGGAUAUGCAGACCCUCUACUUCGCAUGCACACCAAACACCGCAGGAAAGCAGGAUGAACUCCAAUCCAAUUGCUUUCACAAGCCUACCAAAUGAGGAAGAAGAUGUGCUGGUGUGACACCACACACCAGCAGAUAGGAUGCCCAAGAAGGAUCCAUGCCCAA